UUGGACCAUAAUAAUCUGACUAAAUUACCCAAGUUUCCAAAAAAAAUCAGAUACAUAAUUGCAAGUUAUAACUUCAUUCAAACGAUUGAUGGAGCUUUCGAACACCUAACUGCACUUGAAAGCUUGGAUUUGGAUGGUAAUAGAAUAACGGUCAUCAAUAACGGAACCUUCAAAGACACAACGAAACUGAAAUAUUU
Long non-coding RNA from Anneissia japonica, 197 nucleotides. RefSeq lists it as uncharacterized. The transcript is spliced from 3 exons. NCBI's taxonomy places the organism in Eukaryota, Metazoa, Echinodermata, Crinoidea, Comatulida, Comatulidae. The record is from RefSeq and is a predicted model, not a curated record.